AACGUAGGAGGCAAGCGUUAUCCGGAGUUACUGGGCGUAAAGCGCGUGCAGGCGGAUUAGUAAGUUACUUAUGAAAGCUCCUGGCUAAACUAGGAGAGGUUGAGUGAAACUGCUAGUCUAGAGUGGAUGAGAGGUUGACAGAAUUCCUUGUGUAGUGGUGAAAUGCGUAGAUAUAAGGAAGAAUACCAGUGGCGAAGGCGGUCAACUGGCAUCCAACUGACGCUCAGACGCGAAAGCAUGGGUAGCGAACGGG
Molecule: ribosomal RNA, 253 nt
Filed under: uncultured bacterium
Lineage: Bacteria
Description: partial 16S ribosomal RNA
Rfam family: Bacterial small subunit ribosomal RNA
Source: RNAcentral